This 494-nucleotide ribosomal RNA is filed under the name uncultured bacterium. Its description in RNAcentral is "partial 16S ribosomal RNA". It matches the Rfam family "Bacterial small subunit ribosomal RNA", at positions 30 to 507 of the family's 1533-position model. The record is from RNAcentral.
AUUGAACGCUGGCGGCAUGCUUUACACAUGCAAGUCGAACGGCAGCGGGGAGGAGCUUGCUUUUCUGCCGGCGAGUGGCGAACGGGUGAGUAAUACAUCGGAACGUGUCGAGAAGAGGGGGAUAACCACCCGAAAGGGUGGCUAAUACCGCAUAAAUUCUGAGGAAGAAAGCUGGGGACCUGGGAAUAGGCCUAGCGCUUUUUGAGCGGCCGAUGUCGGAUUAGCUAGUUGGUGAGGUAAAGGCUCACCAAGGCGAAGAUCUGUAGCGGGUCUGAGAGGAUGAUCCGCCACACUGGGACUGAGACACGGCCCAGACUCCUACGGGAGGCAGCAGUGGGGAAUUUUGGACAAUGGGGGCAACCCUGAUCCAGCCAUGCCGCGUGUAUGAAGAAGGCCUUAGGGUUGUAAAGUACUUUUGUUAGGGAAGAAAAGUCAGCUGUGAAUAAUGGCUGAUACUGACGGUACCUAAAGAAUAAGCACCGGCUAACUACGUG